Molecule: non-coding RNA, 29 nt
Filed under: Rattus norvegicus (Norway rat)
Lineage: Eukaryota; Metazoa; Chordata; Mammalia; Rodentia; Muridae
Source: RNAcentral
UACACAGAAGAGGAAGGCCCUUCAGCUGU